This 465-nucleotide ribosomal RNA is filed under the name Polynucleobacter sp. Fw70-20. RNAcentral's name for it is "bacterial SSU rRNA". It matches the Rfam family "Bacterial small subunit ribosomal RNA", at positions 20 to 479 of the family's 1533-position model. Lineage: Bacteria; Pseudomonadati; Pseudomonadota; Betaproteobacteria; Burkholderiales; Burkholderiaceae. The record is from RNAcentral.
UGGCUCAGAUUGAACGCUGGCGGCAUGCCUUACACAUGCAAGUCGAACGGCAGCACGGGUGCUUGCACCUGGUGGCGAGUGGCGAACGGGUGAGUAAUACAUCGGAACGUACCUUAUCGUGGGGGAUAACGCAGCGAAAGCUGUGCUAAUACCGCAUACGCCCUGAGGGGGAAAGCGGGGGAUCGAAAGACCUCGCGCGAUUAGAGCGGCCGAUGCCUGAUUAGCUUGUUGGUGGGGUAAAAGCCCACCAAGGCGACGAUCAGUAGCUGGUCUGAGAGGACGAUCAGCCACACUGGGACUGAGACACGGCCCAGACUCCUACGGGAGGCAGCAGUGGGGAAUUUUGGACAAUGGGGGAAACCCUGAUCCAGCAAUGCCGCGUGAGUGAAGAAGGCCUUCGGGUUGUAAAGCUCUUUUGUCAGGGAAGAAACACCGGCUCUAACACAGUCCGGGAAUGACGGUACC